GCCCGGUUAGCUCAAUCGGUAGAGCGUGAGACUCUUAGUAUUCACGUCUUAACGGAUCGAUUGCAAUCUCAAGGUUGCGGGUUCGACCCCCGCAUCGGGCU
This is a non-coding RNA of Trematosphaeria pertusa, 101 nucleotides long. NCBI's taxonomy places the organism in Eukaryota, Fungi, Ascomycota, Dothideomycetes, Pleosporales, Trematosphaeriaceae. The record is from the annotation of a RefSeq genome assembly.